RNAcentral lists this ribosomal RNA (495 nucleotides) under uncultured bacterium. RNAcentral describes it as "partial 16S ribosomal RNA". It matches the Rfam family "Bacterial small subunit ribosomal RNA", at positions 29 to 506 of the family's 1533-position model. The record is from RNAcentral.
ACGCACGCUGGCGGCGUGCCUAAUCCAUGCAAGUUGAGCGCUGAAGGUUGGUACUUGUACCGACUGGAUGAGCAGCGAACGGGUGAGUAACGCGUGGGGAAUCUGCCUUUGAGCGGGGGACAACAUUUGGAAACGAAUGCUAAUACCGCAUAAAAACUUUAAACACAAGUUUUAAGUUUGAAAGAUGCAAUUGCAUCACUCAAAGAUGAUCCCGCGUUGUAUUAGCUAGUUGGUGAGGUAAAGGCUCACCAAGGCGAUGAUACAUAGCCGACCUGAGAGGGUGAUCGGCCACAUUGGGACUGAGACACGGCCCAAACUCCUACGGGAGGCAGCAGUAGGGAAUCUUCGGCAAUGGACGAAAGUCUGACCGAGCAACGCCGCGUGAGUGAAGAAGGUUUUCGGAUCGUAAAACUCUGUUGGUAGAGAAGAACGUUGGUGAGAGUGGAAAGCUCAUCAAGUGACGGUAACUACCCAGAAAGGGACGGCUAACUACGU